This 1018-nucleotide long non-coding RNA is filed under the name Nicotiana benthamiana. RNAcentral's name for it is "long non-coding RNA (NBEN_LNC030784)". The record is from RNAcentral. Lineage: Eukaryota; Viridiplantae; Streptophyta; Magnoliopsida; Solanales; Solanaceae.
CCAUCUUCACUCUAAAUCUGCAGUCCCACAUCGAGCCCAUAAAUAUGUAAUGCCACAUCUUGAUAACUAUAUAAACCCGUAUGCCUUCUCUGAACUAUUAUCAAUUAUAGCGUUUGCUAAGCUACUUCCGAGUCUAUUUUUGACGACUCGAGAAUAGAAGGACAUGUUUUCUUUUAAUGAGAUGAUUCAUACAUCAAAAAGACAAUCUUAGGAUGUUAGGAUGUGAAGAGACGGGUACUUAUUCUUGCCUGAAUAUUGAAGAAAGUGCUCUCAAUGUAGCUCGACUUUUGGAGAUAUUACUCUCAAUGUGUUUCGACUAUCGGAGAGAUUGCUCCCAAAAUGAUUCAAGAUUCGACUAUCGGAGAGAUUGCUCCCAAAAUGAUUCGAGUUUCGAAGAUAUUACUAUCAAUGUGGCUCGGUUAUCGGAGAAAUUACUCUUAAAAUAAUUCAACUAUCAGAGAGAUUACUCUCAAGGGAGGCCGACUAUCGGAAAAAAUUACUCUAAAAAUGAUCCGACUAUUUGAGAGAUUACUCUCAAUGUUCUUCGACUAUCGGAGAGAUUACUCUCAACAGACUUAUAUGUUCACCUUAAAUUUUGAAAAUAUAGUUUCAUUUUAAGGACAAACCUACAAAAAUGCCAACUUAAGAUGCUAAGUGACUCAUAUGUCCACCUUAAGAUUGAAAAGUUAUAGUUCCCUGUAAGGACAAAUCCAAGAAAAUGCCAACUUAAGAUGCAAAGGGACUCAUAUGUCCACCUUAAGAUUAGAAAGUUAUAGUUCCCUUUAAGAACAAACUCACGAAGGGAUCAACUUAAGGUGCAAAGGGAGUCAUAUGUCCACUUUAAUAUUGAAAAAUCAUAAAGCUUCAACUCGAAGACUUCGUGGACUUUUGACGAGUGUCUGGCGUGUGUAUAAAUUAAACUCGUACUCUGUCAAAUUAUAGUAUAGAAAGAUAUCGAACCAACAGAGAUUGGUUUAUCUAUUCUACAGACGUUUCUUGUUUUAACUACUAUUCGAGA